Molecule: non-coding RNA, 71 nt
Organism: Parelaphostrongylus tenuis
Lineage: Eukaryota; Metazoa; Nematoda; Chromadorea; Rhabditida; Metastrongylidae
Source: the annotation of a GenBank genome assembly
GCGUCGGUAAUGCAACGGUUCAGCACGCCCCCGGAUAGGGUGGGAUGUGGGUUCGAAUCCUACCUGACGCA